RNAcentral lists this ribosomal RNA (827 nucleotides) under uncultured bacterium. Its description in RNAcentral is "bacterial SSU rRNA". It matches the Rfam family "Bacterial small subunit ribosomal RNA", at positions 8 to 842 of the family's 1533-position model. The record is from RNAcentral.
AGAGUUUGAUCAUGGCUCAGGAUGAACGCUGGCGGCGUGCCUAAUACAUGCAAGUCGAACGAGGGUAGCAAUACCCUAGUGGCGAACGGGUGAGUAACACGUAGAUAACCUACCGUAAAGACGAGGAUAACACCGGGAAACUGGUGCUAAGACUGGAUAGGACAUUUGGGGGCAUCCCUAGAUGUUUAAAGGACCUGCAAAGGUACACUUUAUGAGGGGUCUGCGGCGCAUUAGCUAGAUGGCGGGGUAACGGCCCACCAUGGCAAUGAUGCGUAGCCGGACUGAGAGGUCAAACGGCCACAUUGGGACUGAGAACGGCCCAAACUCCUACGGGAGGCAGCAGUAGGGAAUUUUCGGCAAUGGGGGAAACCCUGACCGAGCAACGCCGCGUGAAUGACGAAGUUUUUCGGAAUGUAAAGUUCUUUUAUUAGGGAAGAAUAGCCUAUGGAAAAAUAGGAAUGACGGUACCUAAUGAAUAAGCCCCGGCUAACUAUGUGCCAGCAGCCGCGGUAAUACAUAGGGGGCGAGCGUUAUCCGGAUUUACUGGGCGUAAAGGGUGCGUAGGUUGUUAUUUAAGUUCUUGGUGUAAGUGCAGUGCUCAACGCUGUGAUGCUAAGGAAACUGAAUAGCUAGAGUUAGAUAGAGGCAAGUGGAAUUCCAUGUGUAGCGGUAAAAUGCGUAAAUAUAUGGAGGAACACCAGUGGCGAAGGCGGCUUGCUGGGUCUAAACUGACGCUGAUGCACGAAAGCGUGGGGAGCAAACAGGAUUAGAUACCCUGGUAGUCCACGCCGUAAACGAUGAGUACUAAGUGUUGGGGCCAAGCCUCA